GACGAACGCUGGCGGCGUGCUUAACACAUGCAAGUCGAACGGAAAGGCCCUGCUUUUGUGGGGUGCUCGAUUGGCGAACGGGUGAGUAACACGUGAGUAACCUGCCCUUGACUUUGGGAUAACUUCAGGAAACUGGGGCUAAUACCGGAUAUGAGCUCCUGCUGCAUGGUGGGGGUUGGAAAGAUUCGGCGGUUGGGGAUGGUCUCGCGGCUUAUCAGCUUGUUGGUGGGGUAGUUGCUUACCAAGGCUUUGACGGGUAGCCGGCCUGGGAGGGUGACCGGCCACAUUGGGACUGAGAUACGGCCCAGAAUCCUACGGGAGGCAGCAGUGGGGAAUAUUGCACAAUGGGCGGAAGCCUGAUGCAGAAACGCCGCGUGCGGGAUGACGGCCUUCGGGUUGUAAACCGCUUUCGCCUGUGACGAAGCGUGAGUGACGGUAAUGGGUAAAGAAGCACCGGCUAACUACGUG
This 468-nucleotide ribosomal RNA is filed under the name uncultured bacterium. RNAcentral describes it as "partial 16S ribosomal RNA". It matches the Rfam family "Bacterial small subunit ribosomal RNA", at positions 28 to 507 of the family's 1533-position model. The record is from RNAcentral.